AACGAACGCUGGCGGCAUGCCUAACACAUGCAAGUCGAACGAGACCUUCGGGUCUAGUGGCGCACGGGUGCGUAACGCGUGGGAACCUGCCCUUAGGUUCGGAAUAACUCCCCGAAAGGGGUGCUAAUACCGGAUAAUGUCUUCGGACCAAAGAUUUAUCGCCUUUGGAUGGGCCCGCGUUGGAUUAGCUAGUUGGUAGGGUAAAAGCCUACCAAGGCGACGAUCCAUAGCUGGUCUGAGAGGAUGAUCAGCCACACUGGGACUGAGACACGGCCCAGACUCCUACGGGAAGCAGCAGUGGGGAAUAUUGGACAAUGGGCGGAAGCCUGAUCCAGCAAUGCCGCGUGAGUGAAGAAGGCCUUAGGGUUGUAAAGCUCUUUUACCCGGGAUGAUAAUGACAGUACCGGGAGAAUAAGCUCCGGCUAACUCCGUG
Molecule: ribosomal RNA, 433 nt
Filed under: uncultured bacterium
Lineage: Bacteria
Description: partial 16S ribosomal RNA
Rfam family: Bacterial small subunit ribosomal RNA
Source: RNAcentral